CAGCCGCCGCGGGAAUACGGAGGGUGCAAGCGUUAAUCGGAAUUACUGGGCGUAAAGCGCACGCAGGCGGUCUGUCAAGUCAGAUGUGAAAUCCCCGGGCUUAACCUGGGAACUGCAUUUGAAACUGGCAGGCUAGAGUCUUGUAGAGGGGGGUAGAAUUCCAGGUGUAGCGGUGAAAUGCGUAGAGAUCUGGAGGAAUACCGGUGGCGAAGGCGGCCCCCUGGACAAAGACUGACGCUCAGGUGCGAAAGCGUGGGGAGCAAACAGGAUUAGAUACCCGGGUAGUCCCUGUCUCUUAUAC
RNAcentral lists this ribosomal RNA (301 nucleotides) under uncultured bacterium. RNAcentral's name for it is "partial 16S ribosomal RNA". It matches the Rfam family "Bacterial small subunit ribosomal RNA", at positions 509 to 807 of the family's 1533-position model. The record is from RNAcentral.